Long non-coding RNA from Dreissena polymorpha, 637 nucleotides. RefSeq lists it as uncharacterized. NCBI's taxonomy places the organism in Eukaryota, Metazoa, Mollusca, Bivalvia, Myida, Dreissenidae. The transcript is spliced from 3 exons. The record is from RefSeq and is a predicted model, not a curated record.
GACACGUCUUGGAAAUGUUUUAAGAAAGCUCCGUAAAUCCGGAUGUGUCUUGUUUAAGUCAUGGAAAAGUCAGUUUUGGUGCGAGCAAGAUAGGCGAGUUUGCGUUGAAAUAUCAAUUGGAAACGAAAAAGAUCUACCAAAACUGGUUGGAAGGACUAACCAAUCAGAAAAAGUGCAACACCAUAUUCCUGUAAUCGCGAAGUUCUUGGAAAAAUGCCUGGAUGAAUGGUUGGCGUACAUAAAACAGAGUCGAAGCGAAUUUUACUUUUUAAACUUUUUUACCACUGAUCAACUUGUUAUUCUCCAACAAGAGCUCGCCCAAAUGGGAUCUGAACGAAAGCUUUCGCCACACGUGUUCUCACUCCUGUCGGCUGUGAAGGAUGAUUGUAAAUUAGCGGAUUUGGAAACAGCACUUAGAGCUGCCCAAUUGGAAGUACAUACCAAGUUAUCAAAGCAGCGGCCUGCAUUGGAUACACUUGAUAACGCAGGGCAAACCGAAGACAGAGAUAAAGAGAUUGAAUCUUACAAUCAAAGAUCAACGUUUGUUAAAGAACUUGUUGAUAUUGGUUAUGAUCAAACUUUGGCCGAAAUGGCACUGGAUCAUGUCCAUGCGGAAGAUAUUUCUUCCUGUGACGUU